GAUGAACGCUGGCGGCGUGCCUAAUACAUGCAAGUCGAGCGAACAGACGAGGAGCUUGCUCCUCUGACGUUAGCGGCGGACGGGUGAGUAACACGUGGAAAACCUACCUAUAAGACUGGGAUAACUUCGGGAAACCGGAGCUAAUACCGGAUAAUAUAUUGAACCACAUGGUUCAAUAGUGAAAGACGGUUUUGCUGUCACUUAUCGAUGGAUCCGCGCCGCAUUAGCUAGUUGGUAAGGUAACGGCUUACCAAGGCAACGAUGCGUAGCCGACCUGAGAGGGGGAUAGGCCACACGGGAGCUGGGACACGGUCCAGACUCCUAAGGGAGGCAGCAGUAGGGAAUCUUCCGCAGUGGGCGGAAGCAUGACGGAGCAACGCCGCGUGAGUGAUGAAGGUCUUCGGAUCGUAAAACUCUGUUAUGAGGGAAGAACCAAUGUGUAAGUAACUAUGCACGUCUUGACGGUACCUAAUCAGAAAGCCACGGCUAACUACGUG
This 497-nucleotide ribosomal RNA is filed under the name uncultured bacterium. RNAcentral's name for it is "partial 16S ribosomal RNA". It matches the Rfam family "Bacterial small subunit ribosomal RNA", at positions 28 to 507 of the family's 1533-position model. The record is from RNAcentral.